UACAGAGGUCCCGAGCGUUGUUCGGAUUCAUUGGGCGUAAAGGGUGCGUAGGCGGCGGGGUAAGUCUGAUGUGAAAUCCCGGAGCUCAACUCCGUAACUGCAUUGGAUACUGCCUUGCUAGAGUACUGGAGAGGAAACUGGAAUUUACGGUGUAGCAGUGAAAUGCGUAGAGAUCGUAAGGAAGACCAGUGGCGAAGGCGAGUUUCUGGACAGUAACUGACGCUGAGGCACGAAGGCCAGGGG
RNAcentral lists this ribosomal RNA (243 nucleotides) under uncultured prokaryote. RNAcentral's name for it is "partial 16S ribosomal RNA". It matches the Rfam family "Bacterial small subunit ribosomal RNA", at positions 524 to 766 of the family's 1533-position model. The record is from RNAcentral.